This 269-nucleotide long non-coding RNA is filed under the name Lathyrus oleraceus (garden pea). RNAcentral's name for it is "Pisum sativum (pea) long non-coding RNA (PSAT_LNC039666)". Lineage: Eukaryota; Viridiplantae; Streptophyta; Magnoliopsida; Fabales; Fabaceae. The record is from RNAcentral.
UUUGUGAUUAUAUUGUACUAAAGUCUAUGGGCGGAGGUAGGACUGGAAAUGAGUCGAGUCGAGUCGAACCCAUCAUCAGCUCGACUCGACUCGAUAAGAAUUGGUUUAGCUCGAAACUCGACUUGAGUUCGACACGAAUUUUUUUUAAGCUCGAACUCGACUCGUAAUAAGUUCUUGAACAACUCGGUUCAACUCGUUAGGUUCAGUUCGUUAGGUUCAGUUUGUUUACUUCACGGACUAAAAAGUCAUUUUUUAAAGUUUAAAUUUUU